UAUCGUAACUCAUUCAACUUAAUUUUGUUUGAUCCCGCCUAUCCCUCUGAUGGGUUUGGGAUGGACGAUGGACGUGGGUAUGUGAUUUCGAGAGUUAUUCUUUGUGUAUCGCGUACGGUGAUUGAAUCGCAUGGGAUGGAGGACGAAAUAAAAAAAAAAAAAUGGAGGUUAGAGCUCCCGUACGUGUCAAUCACCACGUGCGGUGCAGCAUCGUAAAGCCUACUUCAUGCCC
Molecule: long non-coding RNA, 232 nt
Filed under: Elaeis guineensis (African oil palm)
Lineage: Eukaryota; Viridiplantae; Streptophyta; Magnoliopsida; Arecales; Arecaceae
Description: long non-coding RNA (EGUI_LNC020903)
Source: RNAcentral